RNAcentral lists this ribosomal RNA (497 nucleotides) under uncultured bacterium. RNAcentral's name for it is "partial 16S ribosomal RNA". It matches the Rfam family "Bacterial small subunit ribosomal RNA", at positions 28 to 507 of the family's 1533-position model. The record is from RNAcentral.
GAUGAACGCUGGCGGCGUGCCUAAUACAUGCAAGUCGAGCGAACGGACGAGAAGCUUGCUUCUCUGAUGUUAGCGGCGGACGGGUGAGUAACACGUGGAUAACCUACCUAUAAGACUGGGAUAACUUCGGGAAACCGGAGCUAAUACCUGAUUAUAUUUUGAACCGCAUGGUUCAAAAGUGAAAGACGGUCUUGCUGUCACUUAUAGAUGGAUCCGCGCUGCAUUAUCUAGUUGGUAAGGUAACGGCUUACCAAGGCAACGAUGCAUAGCCGACCUGAGAGGGUGAUCGGCCACACUGGAACUGAGACACGGUCCAGACUCCUACGGGAGGCAGCAGUAGGGAAUCUUCAGAAAUGGGCGAAAGCCUGACGGAGCAACGCCGCGUGAGUGAUGAAGGUCUUCGGAUCGUAAAACUCUGUUAUUAGGGAAGAACAUAUGUGUAAGUAACUGUGCACAUCUUGACGGUACCUAAUCAGAAAGCCACGGCUAACUACGUG